GUUUAUAUUUGUGAUGGAAAUAUUUCUUCAUGGUAGUUUACUUGGCCUUAAACCACAACCAUGUUUACUGUUUCAUGUUACUAAUUUCAUAUAUUUUUCCAUACAAUCCAAAGUGAGAAACUGAGAAUCCACUAAUGAGGUGCCUUAAGGGUAUCUCAAUGAUAUCAGUCAGUGAGCAGUUUUUGAUGGCAUACAAUCUAAUACUCAUUUGUCAAGUGGCUUAUUUAUCAGCAUAGAUCCAAAAAUACUUAUCAUAAGACAA
RNAcentral lists this unclassified non-coding RNA (262 nucleotides) under Hevea brasiliensis (rubber tree). Lineage: Eukaryota; Viridiplantae; Streptophyta; Magnoliopsida; Malpighiales; Euphorbiaceae. The record is from RNAcentral.